UGGGGAAUAUUGGGGCAAUGGGCGCAAGCCUGACCCAGCAACGCCGCGUGAAGGAAGAAGGCUUUCGGGUUGUAAACUUCUUUUAAGAGGGAAGAGCAGAAGACGGUACCUCUAGAAUAAGCCACGGCUAACUACGUGCCAGCAGCCGCGGUAAUACGUAGGUGGCAAGCGUUGUCCGGAUUUACUGGGUGUAAAGGGCGUGCAGCCGGGAGAGCAAGUCAGAUGUGAAAUCCAUGGGCUUAACCCAUGAACUGCAUUUGAAACUGUUUUCUUGAGUGUCGGAGGGGCAAUCGGAAUUCCUAGUGUAGCGGUGAAAUGCGUAGAUAUUAGGAGGAACACCAGUGGCGAAGGCGGAUUGCUGGACGACAACUGACGGUGAGGCGCGAAAGCGUGGGGAGCAAAC
RNAcentral lists this ribosomal RNA (403 nucleotides) under uncultured Oscillibacter sp. RNAcentral describes it as "bacterial SSU rRNA". It matches the Rfam family "Bacterial small subunit ribosomal RNA", at positions 355 to 773 of the family's 1533-position model. Lineage: Bacteria; Bacillati; Bacillota; Clostridia; Eubacteriales; Oscillospiraceae. The record is from RNAcentral.